Molecule: non-coding RNA, 85 nt
Organism: Felis catus (domestic cat)
Lineage: Eukaryota; Metazoa; Chordata; Mammalia; Carnivora; Felidae
Source: Rfam
GCCUGGGUGGCUCAGUCGGUUGAGCGUCCGACUUCGGCUCAGGUCAUGAUCUCACAGCUCGUGAGUUCGAGCCCCGCAUCGGGCU